GAUGAACGCUGGCGGCGUGCCUAAUACAUGCAAGUCGAGCGAACAGACGAGGAGCUUGCUCCUCUGACGUUAGCGGCGGACGGGUGAGUAACACGUGGAUAACCUACCUAUAAGACUGGGAUAACUUCGGGAAACCGGAGCUAAUACCGGAUAAUAUAUUGAACCGCAUGGUUCAAUAGUGAAAGACGGUUUUGCUGGCACGUAUAGAUGGAUCCGCGCCGCAUUAGCUAGUUGGUAAGGUAACGGCUUACCAAGGCAACGAUGCGUAGCCGACCUGAGAGGGUGAUCGGCCACACUGGAACUGAGACACGGUCCAGACUCCUACGGGAGGCAGCAGUAGGGAAUCUUCCGCAAUGGGCGAAAGCCUGACGGAGCAACGCCGCGUGAGUGAUGAAGGUCUUCGGAUCGUAAAACUCUGUUAUUAGGGAAGAACAAAUGUGUAAGUAACUAUGCACGUCUUGACGGUACCUAAUCAGAAAGCCACGGCUAACUACGUG
This 497-nucleotide ribosomal RNA is filed under the name uncultured bacterium. RNAcentral's name for it is "partial 16S ribosomal RNA". It matches the Rfam family "Bacterial small subunit ribosomal RNA", at positions 28 to 507 of the family's 1533-position model. The record is from RNAcentral.